CAGCCGCCGCGGGAAUACGUAGGUCCCGAGCGUUGUCCGGAUUUAUUGGGCGUAAAGCGAGCGCAGGCGGUUAGAUAAGUCUGAAGUUAAAGGCUGUGGCUUAACCAUAGUUCGCUCUGGAAACUGUCAAACUUGAGUGCAGAGGGGAGAGUGGAAUUCCAUGUGUAGCGGUGAAAUGCGUAGAUAUAUGGAGGAACACCGGUGGCGAAAGCGGCUCUCUGGCUUGUAACUGACGCUGAGGCUCGAAAGCGUGGGGAGCAAACAGGAUUAGAGACCCCUGUAGUCCCUGUCUCUUAUACAC
Molecule: ribosomal RNA, 301 nt
Filed under: uncultured bacterium
Lineage: Bacteria
Description: partial 16S ribosomal RNA
Rfam family: Bacterial small subunit ribosomal RNA
Source: RNAcentral